RNAcentral lists this ribosomal RNA (430 nucleotides) under uncultured Raoultella sp. RNAcentral's name for it is "bacterial SSU rRNA". It matches the Rfam family "Bacterial small subunit ribosomal RNA", at positions 355 to 774 of the family's 1533-position model. The record is from RNAcentral. Lineage: Bacteria; Pseudomonadati; Pseudomonadota; Gammaproteobacteria; Enterobacterales; Enterobacteriaceae.
UGGGGAAUAUUGCACAAUGGGCACAAGCCUGAUGCAGCCAUGCCGCGUGUAUGAAGAAGGCCUUCGGGUUGUAAAGUACUUUCAGCGAGGAGGAAGGCAUUAAGGUUAAUAACCUUAGUGAUUGACGUUACUCGCAGAAGAAGCACCGGCUAACUCCGCGCCAGCAGCCGCGGUAAAUACGGAGGGUGCAAGCGUUAAUCGGAAUUACUGGGCGUAAAGCGCACGCAGGCGGUCUGUUAAGUCAGAUGUGAAAUCCCCGGGCUCAACCUGGGAACUGCAUUUGAAACUGGCAGGCUUGAGUCUUGUAGAGGGGGGUAGAAUUCCAGGUGUAGCGGUGAAAUGCGUUAGAGAUCUGGAGGAAUACCGGUGGCGAAGGCGGCCCCCUGGACAAAGACUGACGCUCAGGUGCGAAAAGCGUGGGGAGCAAACA